AGAGUUUGAUCCUGGCUCAGGACGAACGCUGGCGGCGUGCCUAAUACAUGCAAGUCGAGCGCAGGAAGCUCACGGAACUCUUCGGAGGGAAGUGAGGGGAAUGAGCGGCGGACGGGUGAGUAACACGUAAGGDACCUGCCCCAAGGAUUGGGAUAACUCCGAGAAAUCGGAGCUAAUACCGAAUAGUUCUUCAGACCGCAUGGUCUGAUGAUGAAAGGCGCUCCGGCGUCACCUUGGGAUGGCCUUGCGGUGCAUUAGCUAGUUGGUGGGGUAAUGGCCCACCAAGGCGACGAUGCAUAGCCGACCUGAGAGGGUGAUUGGCCACACUGGGACUGAGACACGGCCCAGACUCCUACGGGAGGCAGCAGUAGGGAAUCUUCCACAAUGGACGAAAGUCUGAUGGAGCAACGCCGCGUGAGUGAUGAAGGUUUUCGGAUCGUAAAACUCUGUUGUAAGGGAAGAACAGGUGUGAGAGGUAAUGCUCAUGCUAUGACGGUACCUUACGAGAAAGCCACGGCUAACUACGUGCCAGCAGCGCGGUAAUACGUAGGUGGCAAGCGUUGUUCGGAAUUAUUGGGCGUA
RNAcentral lists this ribosomal RNA (582 nucleotides) under uncultured Actinomycetes bacterium. Its description in RNAcentral is "bacterial SSU rRNA". It matches the Rfam family "Bacterial small subunit ribosomal RNA", at positions 8 to 562 of the family's 1533-position model. The record is from RNAcentral. Lineage: Bacteria; Bacillati; Actinomycetota; Actinomycetes.